GUUGAGGAUACAUGUACUGAAUGGUUUUGGAGGCUUUGGAGUUCAAGAUUCCUUCCUGUGAAGAGUGAAGUCAAAAAGAUCCAGCUCAAAACGACUUUGUGAAGUGUGCAGCUAUUUCUUCAAUUCACACGGGACUUUUUUUUUUUGCGACAACCGUGCAGAGUCAAUCGCAUUUGUGAAGCAGAACUGCGUAGCGGGAGGAAAUAGCUUUUUCCUGGUCGUUAAACUUCAGCUGAAGUGAGGCUGCGUCCGACUGUCACUUGAACAGCGUUUAUUCCAGCUAUUUCAGCGCCAUUUCAAAUUGAUCAAAGGAAUAUCUCCCUCUACUCCAGGAAUCUCUCCCUCUACACCAGGAAUCUCUCCCUCUACUCCAGGAAUAUCUCCCUCUACACCAGGAAUCUCUCCCUCUACACCAGGAAUAUCUCCCUCUACACCAGGAAUCUCUCCCUCUACACCAGGAAUCUCUCCCUCUACACCAGGCAUCUCUCCCUCUACACCAGGAAUCUCUCCCUCUACACCAGGCAUCUCUCCCUCUACACCAGGCAUCUCUCCCUCUACACCAGGCAUCUCUCCCUCUACACCAGGCAUCUCUCCCUCUACACCAGGCAUCUCUCCCUCUACACCAGGCAUCUCUCCCUCUACACCAGGCAUCUCUCCCUCUACUCCAGGAAUCUCUCCCUCUACACCAGGAAUCUCUCCCUCUACACCAGGAAUAUCUCCCUCUACUCCAGGAAUCUCUCCCUCUACACCAGGAAUCUCUCCCUCUACUCCAGGAAUAUCUCCCUCUACUCCAGGAAUCUCUCCCUCUACACCAGGCAUCUCUCCCUCUACUCCAGGAAUCUCUCCCUCUACUCCAGGAAUCUCUCCCUCUACUCCAGGAAUAUCUCCCUCUACUCCAGGAAUCUCUCCCUCUACACCAGGCAUCUCUCCCUCUACUCCAGGAAUCUCUCCCUCUACACCAGGACACAAAGGAGAGGAGGAGAAGACGGAGAGAAAUAAAACCAAACAGGGUUGUUCAUUGUUCAUUCAUCUUCCCCAAGGAUCCACAGUCUGUCCAUCAAUCUGUCCAUCCAUCUAUUGAUCGAUCCAUUAAUCCAUUCAUCCCUCCCUCCAUCGGUCAUGAUAUCCUGGGACUGGCUAAGGGGAGCGUCCAUGCUACUGGCGUUCCACGCCUGCGUCUCCAUGGUGAUGAUUGGGAACGGUAACCGCGGUAACGGUACGGCCCCCGGCUGGGAUGGUAUUCUGGAGAGGUACUUUGUUGAAGAGGGGGACUGGGGGCAGGCCAAGCAGAGAGGGAAGAGGGCCAUCACAGAUGCAGACAUGACCGCCAUACUGGAUCUGCACAACAAGCUCAGAGGACAGGUCCAUCCACCUGCUGCUAACAUGGAACACAUGGAGUGGGAUACAGAGUUAGAGCGUACGGCAGAGGAGUGGGCUGAGACUUGUCUUUGGGAACACGGUCCGGCUGGUCUGCUCCCCCAGAUAGGACAGAACCUGGGAGCUCACUGGGGAUGGCCACGCCCCCCUACUUCCCAUGUGCAGGCCUGGUAUGAUGAGGUGAAGGACUAUUCCUUCCCUUACCCCCAGGAAUGUGACCCCUACUGCCCCUUUAGAUGUUCCGGCCCGGUCUGCACCCACUACACACAGUUGGUGUGGGCCACCAGCAGCAGGAUAGGCUGUGCCAUCAACAUUUGCUACAACAUGAACGUGUGGGGCCAGAACUUGGCUAAAGCUGUUUACCUGGUCUGCAACUACUCACCCAAGGGGAACUGGUGGGGUCAUGCACCCUAUAAACACGGCACCCCCUGCUCUGCCUGCCCCCCCAGCUAUGGAGGACGAUGCAAGGACAACCUCUGCUACAAAGACAAAGUUACAGAGUCGCAGAGAUCUCAGGAGGAAACCGAGGAAAACAAUUAUAUCGAACCAGAGGCCCCCAGGAGCCCCCAGAAGCCACGCCCAAGGGCCCCCAGCCAAAGCCCCCUAUGGCCAAGACCCCCCCCCCCUCCACCCCCACCAGAGGAGCAGGAGAGGAAUGUGGUGGUCAAUACACAGCAGAUGUCUCAGCUUGUGACCUGUGACACUAAGCUACGAGAUCAGUGCAAAGGGACCACAUGCAACAGGUACGAGUGUCCUGCCGGCUGUCUAAAGUCCACAGGGAAGGUGGUUGGGACGGUACACUAUGAGAUGCAAUCCAGUAUCUGCCGUGCUGGCCUCCACUCUGGAGUGGUAGAUACGGAUGGAGGAUGGCUGGACGUCACCAGACAAGGCAGGAAGGACUUCUUCAUCAAGUCCAACAAGAAUGGAAUUCAGUCUCUCGGGAAGUAUCAGAGUGCCAACUCUUUUAUCAUCUCCAAAGUAGCAGUGAAAGCUAUCACCUGUGAGACCACGGUGGCUCAGAUGUGUUCAUAUCAAAAGCUUGUAAAGCACUGCCCAAGGUUAUAUUGCCCCCGGAACUGCAUGGAGGAGAACCCUAACAUAUCACGGGUCAUCGGAACCGGAAUCUAUUCAGAUAAAUCCAGUAUAUGCCGGGUGGCGGUUCACGCAGGGGUGCUUCAGAACAAUGUGGGUGGCUACAUCGACGUGAUGCCGGUAGACAAGCGGAAACAGUACAUUGCCUCGUACCAAAACGGCAUUACUUCCGAGAGUCUUCAGAACCCACCAGGAGGAAAGGCAUUCCGGGUGUUUGCUGUGAUCUGAAUGUUCCGUGUUCUGACUGAGUAUUCCAUGUUCUGGCUGAGUGUUCCAUGUUCUGACUGAGUCUUCCGACUGAGUGUUCCGUGUUCUGACUGAGUGUUCCGUGUUCUGACUGAGUGUUCCGUGUUUUGACUGAGUGUUCCGUGUUUUGACUGAGUGUUCUGUGUUCUGACUGAUUGUUACAUGUUUGACUGAGUGUUCCGUGUUCUGAAUGAGUGUUCCAAAUUCUGGCUGAUUGUUCCGACUGAGUGUUCCGUGUUCUGACUGAGUGUUACGUGUUUUGACUGAGUGUUCUGUGUUUUGACUGAGUGUUCUGUGUUUUGACUGAGUGUUUUGACUGAGUGUUCCAUGUUUUGACUGAGUGUUCUGUGUUUUGACUGAGUGUUCUGUGUUUUGACUGAGUGUUUUGUGUUCUGACUGAGUGUUCUGUGUUCUGACUGAGUGUUCUGUGUUCUGACUGAUUGUUCCAUGUUUGACUGAGUGUUCCGUGUUCUGAAUUAGUGUUCCAAAUUCUGGCUGAUUGUUCCGACUGAGUGUUCCGUGUUCUGACUGAGUGUUACGUGUUCCGAAGGUCAGGGGCUCCAUCUCUCCUCUCUCACCAAACACAGAAUCAAUCAUCUCUGCUGUCCGUUUGGCUGAAUGGGCCGUGAACACUCAUCUCUGCUGUCAAAAGCUGAAAAUGACUGAAACGUUUAUCUGGCCUUUUCACUAGACGCGACGUCAGAGGACGUCUCCACGGAAACUAUAGACAUUUAUCACAGGUACGGGCAUCGCUGAAUGAAGAGGGAUGGGAGAGAGCAAGGCUGGUGCUCAGUGCAGUCCCGUUUCAAUGUUUUAAUGUCAUCUGGUUCAUUUUAUAAACUGUAUAUAUUUGACGUAAUUGCUAGAAUUACUUUAAACUGUAAAGUGCAGUACCAGUCAAAAGUCUGGACACACCCACUCAUUCCAGGGUAUUUCUUUAUUUGAACUGUUUUCUACAUUGUAGAAUAAUAGUGAAGACAUCAAAACUAUGAAAUAACACAUAUGGAAUCAUGUAGUAAAAGUGUUAAGCAAAUUCAAAAUAUAAUAUAUAUUUUAGAUUCUUCAAAUAGCCAACCUUUGCCUUGAUGACAGCUUUGCACACUCUUGACAUUCUCUCAACUAGUUUCACCUGAAAUGCUUUUCCAACAGUCUUGAAGUUCACACAUAUGCUGAGCAUUUGUUGGCUGCUUUUCCUUCACUCUGUGGUCAAACUCAUCCCAAACCAUCUCAAUUUGGUUGAGGUCGGGGGAUUGUGGAGGCCAGGUCAUCUGAUGCAGCACUCCAUCACCCUCCUUGGCCAAAUAGCCCUUACACAACCUGGAGGUGUGUUGGGUCAUUGUCCUGUUGAAAAACAAAUGAUAGUCCCAUUUAGCGCAAACCAGAUGGGAUGGAGUAUCGCUGCAGAAUGGUGUGGUAGCCAUGCUGGUUACGUGUACCUUGAAAUCGAAAUAAAUCACAGACAGUGUCAUCAGCAAAGCACCAUCACACCUCCUCCUCCAUGCUUCACGGUGGGAACCACACAUGCGGAGAUCAUCCGUUCACCUACUCUGCUUCUCUCAAAGACACGGCGGUUGGAACCAAAAAUCUCAAAUUUGGACUCAUCAGACCAAAGGACAGAUUUCCACUGGUCUAUUGUCCAUUGCUCGUAUUUCUUGGCCAGAGCAAGUCUUUUAUUUUUAAUGGUUUUUAACUUUAAUAGCGGUUUCUUUGCAGAAAUUCAACCAUCAAGGCCUGAUUUACAGUCUCGGAACAGUUGAUGUGUUUGUGACUUGAACUCUGUGAAGCAUUUAUUUGGGAUGUAAUCUGAGGCUGUUAACUCUAAUGAACGUAUCCUCUGCAGCAGAGGUGACUCUGGGUCUUCCUGUCCUGUGGUGAUCCUCAUGAGAGCCAGUUAACUCUAAUGAACUUAUCCUCUGCAGCAGAGGUAACUCUGGGUCUUCCUUUCCUGUGGUGAUCCUCAUGAGAGCCAGUUAACUCUAAUGAACUUAUCCUCUGCAGCAGAGGUAACUCUGGGUCUUCCUUUCCUGUGGUGGUCCUCAUGAGAGCCAGUUAACUCUAAUGAAUUUAUCCUCUGCAGCAGAGGUAACUCUGGGUUUUCCUGUCCUGUGGAGGUUCUCAUGAGAGCUAGUUUUAUCAUGGCGCUUGAUGGUUUUUGCGACUGCACUUAAAUAAACAUGAAAAGUUAUUGACAUGUUCAGUAUUGACUGACCUUCAUGUCUUAAAGUAAUGAUAGACUGUCAUUUCUCUUUGCUUAUUUGAGCAGUUCUUGCCAUGAUGUAUAUUUGUGUUUUUACCAAAUAGGGCGAUCUUCUGUAUACCAGCCCUACCUUGUCACAACACAACUGAUUUUCUCAAACGCAUUAAGAAGGAAAGAAAUUCCACAAAUGAACAUUUAACAAGGCACACCUGUUAAUUAAAAUGCAUUCCAGGUGAUCACCUCCUGAAGCUAGUUGAGAGAAGGCCAAGAGUGUGCAAAGCAGUCAUCAAGGUAAAGGGUGGCUACUUUGAAGAACCUCAAAUAUAAAAUAUAUUUUGAUUUGUUUAACACUUUUUUGUUGCUUACUGUCUUCACUCUUUUUCUACAAUGUAGAACAUAGUAACACAUGAAGAAAAACCCUUGAAUGAGUAAGUGUGUACAAAAGUUGAGUACUGUGUAUGUGUGUAUGUAUAUAUGUCUAUGUGGUGUUGUUGGUUUUGUUGGUUUUGUUAUUAUCGUCUUGCCUUUAGAACUGAACUGAUAUCCAAUAUUACAACAACAGAAUAUAACAGAGGUAACAAUAUACAAUAUACAACUUAGCACUUAAAGGAAUAUUUUAUACCGUAUGUCAGAUUGGACCUACUUCUGUCUGGCCCGUGUUAUUAUCAGUGCUGUGGAAAAACACUUUAUCUUUGGGUGUUUUGUGUAUGUUUACCUUUCUAAACAACAUCAGUAGUUUUUUUUUUUUAAACAUGCUGUUUUUCUACCAGUGGUAUCAAGGAGCAAGUCAAGGUAUGUUUUUAAUAUGCAGUAACAUUCCCAUAGAGAGUACUUCAUAGAGAUGUUAUGUUUACGGUUUUGUUAUGGCUAGGGCUCUGUGUUUUGCCCAAUGAUGUGACAUAGCAAGAUUAUAUCACGUAGCAAUUGAACAAAAAAUAUAAAUGCAACAAGUGUUGUUUCAUGAGUUGAAAUAAAAGAUUCUCAGAAAUCGUCACAAAGUU
RNA transcript from Oncorhynchus nerka (sockeye salmon), 5913 nucleotides. It is a transcript of the gene named cysteine-rich secretory protein LCCL domain-containing 1-like, with no coding region annotated. The record is from RefSeq and is a predicted model, not a curated record. Lineage: Eukaryota; Metazoa; Chordata; Actinopteri; Salmoniformes; Salmonidae. The transcript is spliced from 16 exons.